Molecule: ribosomal RNA, 569 nt
Filed under: uncultured archaeon
Lineage: Archaea
Description: partial 16S ribosomal RNA
Rfam family: Archaeal small subunit ribosomal RNA
Source: RNAcentral
GCAAGGCACGGCGAACAGCACAGAAACACGGGGACAACCNACCCANAGGACCGGGANAACCCCGGGAAACCGGGAACAACCCCCGACAGACCCCGAAGGCCGGAACGCAGCGAGGGCGAAAGCNCCGGAGCCAAAGGANGGGNCAGCGGCCNANCAGGCAGCAGCGGGGGNAGCGAACCNACCAGCCAACGACGGGAACGGGACGAGAGAGCAAGAGCCCGGAGAAGGACACCGAGACACGAAGCCAGGCCCCACGGGGAGCAGCAGGCGCGAAAACACCACAACGCAGGCAACAGCGAAAAGGGAACCNCGAGCGCCAGGAAACAAAACCGGCAGACGAGACGCCAAAAAAGCANACCACAGCAAGGGCCGGGCAAGACCGGCGCCAGCCGCCGCGGAAACACCGGCGGCUCGAGUGGUAACCGUUAUUAUUGGGUCUAAAGGGUCUGUAGCCGGCCGGAUAAGUCUCUUGGGAAAUCUGGCAGCUCAACUGUCACGCUAUCAGGAGAUACUGUCUGGCUCGAGGCCGGGAGAGGUGAGAGGUACUUCAGGGGUAGGGGUGAAAUCUU